AUUUCGUACGCAACGGUUUAGUUCGAAAACGUGAAUAUAAAGACAACGUUACGCGCGGUCUUCGGUAAAAUUUUUAAUUUUUAAUGUAUUGCGUACAGAUUCUUUAGAAUUUCCGUUAAAUAAGAUUAUAUACAAAAAAAAAAAAAAAAAAACAUAAAGUGACGUGCUUUGAAAGAAUUUGUAGAUGAAUACAAAAAAACAAAUAUAUUUAGAAAUAUUAUUCAAUAACACAAAUAUUUAAAAAAAAAUAUCUACAAAAAAUAAACAAAAAAAAAUCUGUGAAUUUUUUUAACCAGCUAUCAUUUGUUGAAUUAAUAAACAACAACAAAAAAAAUAAAUUAUUUAUAAACAAAAAUUGUGAGUGAAUUUGGAAGCUAAAAAAAAUCAAA
Long non-coding RNA from Lucilia sericata (common green bottle fly), 389 nucleotides. RefSeq lists it as uncharacterized. The transcript has 2 exons. The record is from RefSeq and is a predicted model, not a curated record. Lineage: Eukaryota; Metazoa; Arthropoda; Insecta; Diptera; Calliphoridae.